Molecule: ribosomal RNA, 736 nt
Filed under: uncultured Pseudomonadota bacterium
Lineage: Bacteria; Pseudomonadati; Pseudomonadota
Description: bacterial SSU rRNA
Rfam family: Bacterial small subunit ribosomal RNA
Source: RNAcentral
AGCUUGCUUCCUGGCGGCGAGCGGCGGACGGGUGAGUAAUGCAUAGGAAUCUACCCGGUAGUGGGGGAUAACCUGGGGAAACCCAGGCUAAUACCGCAUACGUCCUACGGGAGAAAGCAGGGGCUCUUCGGACCUUGCGCUAUCGGAUGAGCCUAUGUCGGAUUAGCUGGUUGGUGAGGUAAUGGCUCACCAAGGCGACGAUCCGUAGCUGGUCUGAGAGGAUGAUCAGCCACAUCGGGACUGAGACACGGCCCGAACUCCUACGGGAGGCAGCAGUGGGGAAUAUUGGACAAUGGGCGCAAGCCUGAUCCAGCCAUGCCGCGUGUGUGAAGAAGGCCCUCGGGUUGUAAAGCACUUUCAGUGGGGAAGAAAGCCUGCCGGCUAAUACCCGGGAGGAAGGACAUCACCCACAGAAGAAGCACCGGCUAACUCCGCGCCAGCAGCCGCGGUAAUACGGAGGGUGCGAGCGUUAAUCGGAAUUACUGGGCGUAAAGCGCGCGUAGGUGGCGUGAUAAGCCGGUUGUGAAAGCCCCGGGCUCAACCUGGGAACGGCAUCCGGAACUGUCAGGCUAGAGUGCAGGAGAGGAAGGUAGAAUUCCCGGUGUAGCGGUGAAAUGCGUAGAGAUCGGGAGGAAUACCAGUGGCGAAGGCGGCCUUCUGGACUGACACUGACACUGAGGUGCGAAAGCGUGGGUAGCAAACAGGAUUAGAUACCCUGGUAGUCCACGCCGUAAAC